This 894-nucleotide ribosomal RNA is filed under the name Pinnularia viridiformis. RNAcentral's name for it is "partial 28S ribosomal RNA". It matches the Rfam family "Eukaryotic large subunit ribosomal RNA", at positions 43 to 1016 of the family's 3401-position model. Lineage: Eukaryota; Bacillariophyta; Bacillariophyceae; Sellaphorales; Pinnulariaceae. The record is from RNAcentral.
UAACUAGGCAGAGGAAAAGUAACUAACAAGGAUUGACUCAGUAAGGGCGACUGAAGCAUCAAAAGCUCACCAUGUGAAUCUGCACAAUUGAGUGCUGAGUUGUGGUUUGGAGACUCUUGCAAUCUUGGGCUGAGCCAAGUUGUUUGGAAUGGGGCAGUUCAUAGGGUGAAACUCCCGUAUGCCUGGCCUUGGGAGCAAGUGUCACAGAGUCGAGUUGUUUGGGAUUGCAGCUCUAAGAGGGUGGUAAAUUCCAUCAAAAGCAAAAUAUUGGUGGAGGACCGAUAGCAAACAAGUACCGUGAGGGAAAGAUGCAAAGAACUUUGAAAAGAGAGUUAAAGAGUACCUGAAAUUGCUGAAAAGGAAGCAAAGGAAACCAGUGCUUGUUGUGCCAUACUUCCCUGUUUGCUUGCAGUUAGGGCGUUGUGGCUGACAUAGUCUCUGUCAAUUGACUCGGACGGAAGUGCAAUGAAAGGAGAAAGCCUUUGUUGUUUGAAUCCUGGUUGACUGAUGGUGACAAAAUGGUUUUCUUUUCCCCGUCUAGAAACACGGACCAAGGAGUCUAACAUUUGUGCGAGUACUGGAGUAUGAAGCUCUUGUGCGCAAUGAAAGUAACAGUGGCUGGAAUAUUUUGCACAGUCUGCCGGCCUCAAUCCCUUGGGAGAACGGUCUGAGUGUGAGCAUACAUGUUGGGACCCGAAAGAUGGUGAACUAUGCUUGAGUAGGGUGAAGCCAGGGGAAACUCUGGUGGAGGCUCGUAGCGAUUCUGACGUGCAAAUCGAUCGUCAAACUUGAGUAUAGGGGCGAAAGACUAAUCGAACCAUCUAGUAGCUGGUCCCCUCCGAAAUUUCCCUUAGGAUAGCUGCAAUCGAUGACCAAUUUUGUCAGGUAAAGCGA